AAUAAACCAAUUUUCAUUUUUUACCUUUAAUUUUUGAUUAUUUGUUUUAUUCAAAAAUUUUUUGUGAUUGAUAUUUUUACUUUUAUUAGAUGAUAAAUUAUAAAUAGUAUUUUAUGUAUGACUAAUUUUUUUCUAAUUUUCUAAAAAAAUUUUAAAUAAGACGGAUGGUUAAAUGUUGGAUACGGAAAACGAAGAAUUCGUUUUUU
RNAcentral lists this microRNA precursor (206 nucleotides) under Oryza brachyantha (malo sina). RNAcentral's name for it is "MIR812 microRNA precursor family". It matches the Rfam family "MIR812 microRNA precursor family". The record is from Rfam by way of RNAcentral. Lineage: Eukaryota; Viridiplantae; Streptophyta; Magnoliopsida; Poales; Poaceae.